AUUCUCACAAGUCUAUAAGAGAGGUAGAGCUGGUACACCAAAGAAGCUAGCAGUUCCUAACUCUUCAAUGAAACAGGCAUCCAGAAGUGUGUGCUCAACAACCGGGAUCACUAGAUUGUGGCUACUACGUCAUGCGUUUUAUGUACGACAUAAUAAUGAAUCAUGGUAAUAGUCAAGAUCUUACUAAGGAUUUUUCAAGAACAUUGCCUUAUUCACCGGAGGAGAUUAAUGAGGUGAAAGAUUUUUGGGCAGAUUACUUCAUGAACAAUGUCGAAUUUUUAGCUUAAUUUGUAAUAUGAACUCGAUCUCUAGCUAGCUACGUACCUUUUGUAAUAAUUUUAUGUUUGUUGUAACAUGUUGGUUGAUCUAUGACGAAUUUAAUUGCCUUUUAUUGGGAACGUUAA
Long non-coding RNA from Spinacia oleracea (spinach), 404 nucleotides. RefSeq lists it as uncharacterized. The transcript has 3 exons. NCBI's taxonomy places the organism in Eukaryota, Viridiplantae, Streptophyta, Magnoliopsida, Caryophyllales, Amaranthaceae. The record is from RefSeq and is a predicted model, not a curated record.